AAAUACAAUACAAAAUUGAGGAAUCUCUAAACUCUAAAGUACCUAAGUUGUACCCAUAACAAAAAUAUAAAAGAAAGCUUAGCAACCUAUGUUGAUCCCUAGUUACCAUAGCUCUUGUAAUGUUUUAAUUGCCAAAUUGAAGGAUCGUACUAAUGGUUUAUUCUUUGCUUUGCCAAGAGGUUUGUACCUUAAUUGGUGCCUCCACAUGCAUAGGGUGCUUGGGGGUCUAGGGGAGAAAGGGUUCAAGUUGCGGGUCAGCAGCAUAUUGUAACUAUUUGAAAAAAGAGGCGAUGCUUUGAAUUCAUUGAAGACCAAUUUAGCUGAUCCAAACAAUGUUCUGCAAAGUUGGGAUCCUACCCUUGUGAAUCCCUGCACAUGGUUCCACGUAACAUGCGAUAGCGAAAAUAGUGUGACAUGAGUUGAUCUUGGAAAUGCAAAUCUUUCUGGUCAACUGGUUCCACAACUUGGUCAGCUUUUAAAUCUGCAAUAUUUGGAACUUUAUAGUAAUAACAUAACUGGACCAAUCCCUGAGGAGCUUGGGAAUUUGACAGACUUGGUGAGCUUGGAUCUUUACUUGAACAAUUUAAACGGACAGAUUCCAUCCACAUUGGGCAAGCUUCAAAAACUUUGCUUUCUAUCCUGCUAGUGCAGCUGCAUCACAGGCAAAUCGAGAGGAAGUGGAUUCUCGAUCAGUGUUUGUUGGCAAUGUCAGGCUUCAUUCUUCAAGUUUUCUGAUUAACUGGUGCUGGGGUUCGAAGUAUUUCUGAUGAAAUACAGCUGGGCUAGGAAAAGAAAAUAAUUAAUGAAAUUCAACAGAAAGAGAAAAGGGGGGAAAAAAGAACGAGAACAAAAAAGAA
Long non-coding RNA from Quercus lobata, 857 nucleotides. RefSeq lists it as uncharacterized. Lineage: Eukaryota; Viridiplantae; Streptophyta; Magnoliopsida; Fagales; Fagaceae. The transcript has 6 exons. The record is from RefSeq and is a predicted model, not a curated record.